GACGAACGCUGGCGGCGUGCUUAACACAUGCAAGUCGAGCGAGGCCCCUCCUUCGGGAGGGUGUCCUAGCGGCGAACGGGUGAGUAACACGUGGGCAACCUGCCCUCAGCUCUGGGAUAACUCCGGGAAACCGGGGCUAAUACCGGAUACGACCUCCACGGGCAUCUGCGGAGGUGGAAAGUUUUUCGGCUGAGGAUGGGCCCGCGGCCUAUCAGCUAGUUGGUGGGGUAGUGGCCCACCAAGGCGACGACGGGUAGCCGGCCGGAGAGGGCGACCGGCCACACUGGGACUGAGACACGGCCCAGACUCCUACGGGAGGCAGCAGUGGGGAAUAUUGCGCAAUGGGCGAAAGCCUGACGCAGCGACGCCGCGUGAGGGACGAAGGCCUUCGGGUUGUAAACCUCUUUCAGCAGGGACGAAGCGAAAGUGACGGUACCUGCAGAAGAAGCACCGGCCAACUACGUG
RNAcentral lists this ribosomal RNA (465 nucleotides) under uncultured bacterium. RNAcentral's name for it is "partial 16S ribosomal RNA". It matches the Rfam family "Bacterial small subunit ribosomal RNA", at positions 28 to 507 of the family's 1533-position model. The record is from RNAcentral.